Coturnix japonica (Japanese quail) is the source of this 3270-nucleotide non-coding RNA. Lineage: Eukaryota; Metazoa; Chordata; Aves; Galliformes; Phasianidae. The record is from RefSeq and is a predicted model, not a curated record.
GGCUGCUGUCAGUGGUGACAGGCCGCCAUGGUUUAAUAACUUUGUAAUUUUACUGUCAAUAUUCCACAGGUCGAUUUGCGUUUAAACCGUGACACAGGAUGAGGAGAAACAGCCUCGAGUUACACAGGAUAAAGGGGCAGGAUCGAUAACGGGGUUAUCACAGGACUAAGAUUUAAAGUCCUUAAACUGCACAUUCCCUUCAUGUAACCUCACACAGCACCCAAAGGAACAAAGCUCUUUAUAUAUUCACUGCUUUCUCCUCAGCACAAGACUUUAAAAUUUUUGCUUCCUCCAGACGAAUCCUGCUCUUUAGAAACAAACAGGCUGGGCUGCAUUCGGAACAACAGCAAAAAGAAGGAAAACUUGAAACCCCUGGAAGGAAACAUGGUCCCACGUCAGGAGGUGGCACAGCUCAGUGACGGCUCUGAGCAGAGCCAUGGCCUGCAGGCACACAGCACUGCAUGGCUGAUUGGUACAGCUGGUACAAUAAACACAUUUUGGCUUUUGCGAAGUUAAACAUUGCUCGGUAUCACGCUGGGACAGCUGCAUUCAAAGCACACAAACAUCCUCCUCUGGAGAGCAACGUGGGCGCAGCAUCACAGGGCACAGCACCAACCUCCAUCACUGACAAAAUGCAAAGUAUUUCCUUAGGUAAUGAAGCAGAAAGGAAUGUUAAUUCUAAGGACAGGAUAUUAUAUCUUAUUAGCAACACUUCUAAAUGGCUGUAACGUGGAGUGCUGGUAAAAUAGCAGCACUUCCCCAAAUCGCUCCGUGCCGCAGGUUUCUGAACCACUUAAAAAUAAAUAAACAUCCUACAUAAAUUCCUUAGAAGAGCCCAUCUCCUGUUUGAGAGGGAAAGCACACAGCUGGUCGGGCAGAGCUGCAUGAGCAGUCUGAAUUCCUCAGCCUCGGCUAUGAUCUCACUUCACAAGAACCAGACGUUCCAUUUCUUGCUUCUCCAGCAUCCAAGAGCAACACUGCUAACAUGCAGUGCAGAUUUUUCUUCACACUAGCACUGGAGGCAUCUACGAAGCUACUCUGAAGCUGACAAUCCCUCUUCUGCAGGACGACAUACAGCUCUCACAACCAGCAGAAAACCCAGAACUAACCCAGCCAGACCUGGAUUCGAGGGGUGCCACAGCUCAUUGCAAUGUGAAAACUGCAAGCUGAGUGCUCAGCACUGACCCCAGUCUCUGUCCUUGCAGGAAGGUACAGCACAGAAAUUCUAUGGUUUGCUCUGAGAACAGCAGUUGCAAAAAUACCUAAAGAAACUCAAAUCUUCUGCCACCAGUAAAGGAAAGCCUCCAAAUCGCCAGCAGCGUCUGACAGGUGACAGAUGAGAGAGAACCCUCUCCCAGACUCACAUCCUAUGUUCACCAUCAGAUGUCUUCAGGCAAGUGAAACAAUGCAAAAUUCAUUAUUAGCAGCUACUGUAGGAAUCAUAGAAUGAACACAUUGAGCAGCAGCACCCAGGGACAAGUUCCAGCACACGCUUUCCACACAUAAAGCUUUGCUUCAGAGAAAGAAGCAGAGGAAGAAGACGUUAAGGCUGCAAUGUGAAAACAGACCAAGUGUCCCAGCAGAAACCAGCCCAUCUACAUUCAUUCUUCAGAACUAGCAAACAUGGCGCCCUUCCUUAUUUUCACAUGUCAAAAAGUAAUUAAGAAAAAACCCAUUUUAUUUCUAUAGAUCCAUUUAUUAUUCCAGUCUGUAAAAAUAUAGGACUAAUAUACAGCUACAGCUAGCCAGAUUCAUAAAAUCAAUCUUCAUUCAGUGAGCUAACAAUGUACAUUAUACAUUGAAGUUGUAAGAAAAAUACUGAUAUUUGACAUUUUAAACAAGUUCAUUCAUGUAAAAAUCACAUUCCAAGUAGAAUUUAAUUAGAAAAUACAUAAUAUUCACAAAAAUACACAUGUUAAAAGACAGGCUGUGAGAACAUUGCCCUAAAUUCAGCUGUGGAAAAACACACGAUUCACAGUUAGGCUUGACUUACCCAGUACCAGAGCAGAACUUCAAAGUAAAUGCAACUUAAUUCUAUGAAGAAUUUGCUUGUUUCUCCCAGUAAGGUGCACUUAUCUCCCAGCUGCAAUGAAGGAAGGACUUCCCCCAUGCACGUAUACAACACACAACACUACACAGAGGAACUUCAGUUUUCUGCUCCAUUUUUUUUUUUUUUAAAGUAAUUUGAAUAUUUAUAAAUUAAUUUAUAAAAUCUGGGUUGAAAAUACAGUUUACAUAUACAGGAUACUUAAAACACAAAGAUUACAUUAAUAGCAGCUUAAUUUUGUCAAUCAUGCGUAGCAUCCUCACUAUCACUUCUGGAUUUCUUUUAGCUAAAGAUAAAAAUCUGUAUGAAACAGUCAAGCCUUUAAGCACUUUCUUCCAAGGAGAAAAUCGUAAAGAUGUUAAAAAUUCAGGAGGUAGUGAAUUAAAGGCUAAUGAUACCAGCAUAUUUAAAAAACCCCAUACUGAGCCUUAGUACCACUUAUAUAUGAAGUUUAGCCAUUCAUAAUCAACCAUUGAUCAUCCUGAAGUAACAAUUAAAAGUAUUUCAUAAUUAACAGUGUAUACAUUAGUAAGAUGUGGAAGAACUUUAGAAACUCCAUGGUCACUGCAGCAGUCAGCAAUUACAUGCUGUGCAGCCCGUCCCUGUAACCAUAAAUAAACCUACAGGUCAGUUUUUAUUAUGUAUACCUGGUGCUUUGUUUUAAUCAAAUCCCAAAUGCUUAGUCUUGUUAUGAGUGUUAUCAAGUUCCUGUAAAACAGAACAUUACUUGUCAAGAGUAUUAUCUCCUAUUUGGAUCAAUUAGAUUACAGGAUUGCAGAAAAGGUCCUAAGAGAUGGAUUUCCAUGCAGUGUUUAGCGGACCCUAGUUAGUUUUCUACAAUUCUCUCAUACUGGCAGACAUAUCCAAUAUAUCCAUGCAUCUGUUAGAGAACAAAUUGGGUAACACAGGAGUUUGGCAGCACACUAACUUUGGGUGUUUGUAUUUCAGCAAUAAGUUACCUUGUAAUGUUCUGUAAUUAUCAUGCUCAGAACCAACCCUCCUGUCUAAUUUAACAGCUCAUCUUGCAUCCGAGCUGCAAAACACCAACGCACUGAGCAGACCCACAGGGUACAUCCUCUGAGUGACAGCUUUACACCUGCACUGAGUGCGCUACCAGUUCAUCUUCUGGAUCCACAGACCUCACUCUUUUCUCAUCCAAGUGCCUUUACUCCUUUUAGUUAUUCGCAAUACAUUCAAGUAAGCAGAAGGCACAGAAAUGCAAA